This 648-nucleotide ribosomal RNA is filed under the name Triticum aestivum (bread wheat). RNAcentral's name for it is "partial small subunit ribosomal RNA". Lineage: Eukaryota; Viridiplantae; Streptophyta; Magnoliopsida; Poales; Poaceae. The record is from RNAcentral.
AUGGCAGAUGCACCUUUGUACAAGCAGCACCGCAAGUACACCAGGGAGCUCCACGACGUCCUCCUCCACGGCAAUCACAAAUUCCACGUCCUUUGCACAAGCAAGGGCAAAGAGGUGGACAAGAUGUUGUCCACGUUCAGGAGGAAGCUCGGCGGAAUGCCCGUCAAACUAGUCGGUGUUGAUGUCGAGUACACACACUACAAGAAGCCACAGCGUGCAGCGGUACUACAGCUAUGCGUAGAAAAAGAAUGCCUUGUCUACCACAUAUCUGCAGCUAAAGACAGGAGACAAAAGCAAGCUGAGGUAUCUGGUUUGGAGAUCAACUCCAACAACUACAUUGAUAUUCAGGUGGAAUGGAGAGACCCAUACAAUAAAAAGAAGUUUGACUCUUUGGCUGAUGUUGCUGGCAGGAUGAUAGACAUUCACUACCAUGACAUGAAGAAAAGAAUUAACCGCAAGGAGGACCAUACUCUGUGGGGACUUUGCCCGCUGCCAAAAAAGCUUAUCAAGUAUGCAGCAAUAGAUGCAUUCGCAACAUAUGAGUCAUCGAGAAUCAUCUACGAUGUCAUAAUGGGACUGGACAGGGCAAAAAGAGACAAAGAAGAAAAGAAGAAGAAGAACAAGGCUGUAAUCAAAUACAUCAACUAG